GGCAUAUUGGACAAUGGGCGAAAGCCUGAUCCAGCAAUGCCGCGUGUGUGAAGAAGGCCUGCGGGUUGUAAAGCACUUUUGGCAGGGAAGAAAAGCUCGGAGCUAAUACCUCCGGGAAUUGACGUCACCUGCAGAAAAAGCACCGGCUAACUCUGUGCCAGCAGCCGCGGUAAUACAGAGGGUGCAAGCGUUAAUCGGAAUUACUGGGCGUAAAGCGCGCGUAGGUGGUUGGGUAAGUCGGUUGUGAAAUCCCCGGGCUUAACCUGGGAAUUGCAGUCGAUACUGCUCAGCUGGAGUGUGGAAGAGGGAAGCGGAAUUUCCGGUGUAGCGGUGAAAUGCGUAGAUAUCGGAAGGAACACCAGUGGCGAAGGCGGCUUCCUGGUCCAACACUGACACUGAGGCGCGAAAGCGUGGGUAGCGAAC
RNAcentral lists this ribosomal RNA (423 nucleotides) under uncultured bacterium. RNAcentral describes it as "bacterial SSU rRNA". It matches the Rfam family "Bacterial small subunit ribosomal RNA", at positions 358 to 773 of the family's 1533-position model. The record is from RNAcentral.